AUGAAUCCUCCCACCAGGCCUUCAGGGGAAGAUUCAGAGACUCGGGUUCCAGCCUUUGCUGUGAAGACCCCUUCUUCCCUUUACUUGCUGUGUAUUGCACUCCUGGGCACGUCGGGUGUUGUGAAAACAGUGGGUGAGGAAGUCAGAUUCACCCAGCAGCUCCUCUCAUGGAGCCCUGCAGCCUGCAACCAGUACCUUUCCUCGCGUCCCCUUCAUCCUGUCCUAGGGACCCAAACACGCAGCUCAGAAGACAGUCAGGAGACAGCAGGCUCCAAGAGCCAUCAGAGUAAUUCAGGACACAUAAAAUGCAUCUGUGUCUGUGGGUCAAAUCCAGACCCUACCCAUCCUGGUUCAAGUUGAAAGGACACAGAAGUUCCAAGGGGAUGAGUGACUCGCACGAGGCCACCUGGUAGGUGCAGAGGCAGGGGCUCGGAUCCCAGGGCCUGUUGGAGCAGCGACAUUGAGCUUGUGGCAGGGCUGGGCUGGGCUGGGAGGGCAAUCACUCCGAUGAUGCAGCUGGAAGUGAUGGAGAGAAGUGGGACAGAGAGAAAGAGCUGGUAGUCUAGGGACAGGCCACCGCAGCAGAGGAGUACCUUCUAGAUGAUUAGGAAAGUCAACACACACGUGCACUCACAGGCGAGGAGUAGCAAGAAUGAAACUACUAAAGCUUUGGGACAGAGACAGACCAGAGGGCCAAAAUAAAUAAAUAAAUAAACCUGGAGUCACCAUAAUUGCAGAUAUUAAAUUCAAAGGUAUUUGGGAGCACCUCUAGGUGGCAGGGUCGGUUGGGCGGUUGGGUGUCUGUCUGACUCUUGGUUUUGGCUCAGGUCGUGAUCUCAUAGGCUGUGGGUUCGAGCUUCGUGUCAGGUCUGCACUGGGCACCGAGUCUGCUGAUCCCUCUCCCUCUGCCCCUCCCCACCCAUCCCACCCCACUCCACCCCAUCCCACCUGCCCCCCAUUCAUGCUCACACUCUCUCUCUCUCAAAUAAAUAAUCUUUUUAAAAAAAUUCUAAGGGGGUUAGUACUCAAUAGUGGUUUCAAAAACUUAAAUGAAAAUUUACCAAUUUAAGAAAACACCAACCUGCCCUAAGUAAACCUGAAAAGAGAAACCAAAUCCUGGACUCUCCACCCCCUGGCCUUCCUUCCGGCCACAAUUUCUUUUCAUCAAUAAUCAAAACAGCAUCCUCCAGGAGCAGGGUCUAAGGUGGGAGCCGACUGGCCGUUUCUGUAGCUAGUGUCUCCCUGCAGGGGAGAUAUAUAUAUAUAUCUAGGAGCUAUAUAUUGAAGACAACGUCUGGAAGCUUCUAUUGUGUAGUUGUUGUCCAUCAUGAUAAUCCAGUUUCUGAAAGGGAGUUUUUGAAAGCAGAGUCCGAAGCUGGUCAUCGUCGUCUGAACCAGUUCAUAGCUCUUGACCUUGUAGAUGAGAAUCUGUGGCUUGUCCGAUGACAUGUACUUGAAAACCAUGGACAAGGUCAAUGAGUGGCUUGUUUCAGCCUUGGUUACUGCAGGUCAUGUGGGAUUUAUUAGGCUCCAUGACAUAAGGGAAGAACUUCUUUACUGAUAUCUAUGAUUCAUACAUAAAGUUUGCAAUGAAUUGAUUUUAUGAACCCAAUUCUCCUACGUGAUCAAGUGCAUUUAACAGAAAAGUUCAGUUUCUUGGGAAGAAAUACCUUUUAGGUUGAAUGCAGAAAAAUCUGGAAAUAAACAAUGUCACUACCAUGGGGUAUUCUUAGGAAUGAGUACAUUGUAAGUAGCUUGAUUAAAUAGCCUGGAAAGGUGAAGGAAAGAGAGAAGGAAGGAAGGAAAGGAAGGAAGGGAGGGAGGGAGGGAGGGAGAGAGGAAGGGAAAGGGAGGAAGGGAGGGAGGGAGGGAAAAGAAGGAAGGGAUGGGAAGG
This 1894-nucleotide long non-coding RNA is filed under the name Canis lupus familiaris (dog). Its description in RNAcentral is "lncRNA (ENSCAFG00845020343.1)". The record is from RNAcentral. Lineage: Eukaryota; Metazoa; Chordata; Mammalia; Carnivora; Canidae.